UCACUUUGAUCACAUCUCAUUUAGAGGA
RNAcentral lists this non-coding RNA (28 nucleotides) under Mus musculus (house mouse). Lineage: Eukaryota; Metazoa; Chordata; Mammalia; Rodentia; Muridae. The record is from RNAcentral.